This 388-nucleotide ribosomal RNA is filed under the name uncultured bacterium. RNAcentral describes it as "bacterial SSU rRNA". It matches the Rfam family "Bacterial small subunit ribosomal RNA", at positions 28 to 417 of the family's 1533-position model. The record is from RNAcentral.
GACGAACGCUGGCGGCGUGCUUAACACAUGCAAGUCGAGCGGUAAGGCCCUUUCGGGGGUACACGAGCGGCGAACGGGUGAGUAACACGUGGGUGACCUGCCCUUAGCUCUGGGAUAAGCCUGGGAAACUGGGUCUAAUACCGGAUAUGACUCCAUGACGCAUGUUGUGGGGUGGAAAGCCUUGUGCGGCUAGGGAUGGACCCGCGGCCUAUCAGCUUGUUGGUGGGGUGAUGGCCUACCAAGGCGACGACGGGUAGCCGGCCUGAGAGGGCGACCGGCCACACUGGGACUGAGACACGGCCCAGACUCCUACGGGAGGCAGCAGUGGGGAAUCUUGCGCAAUGGGCGAAAGCCUGACGCAGCGACGCCGCGUGAGGGAUGACGGCCU